AAGUCGUAACAAGGUAACCGUAGGUGAACCUGCGGUUGGAUCAUUAAAAAUUUUGAAAUUUCUUCUUUUGCCGACGUUCAGCGUCGCAGAGAAGAAAUUUUGUACACCCGCGCACUGAGAACCUGAUCUUCUUGGGGACACGCGCAAGUGUGAGUGAGACGCCGGCAAAAGCCGCUGUCCCACGGAGGCUACAUCUCCGGAUGAAACUCUCCCCCCAAGAAAGAGUUUUCGACAAAGGUCUUUGCGGUCGCCAGACUGCGAGGAGCACUGUCGAAACUCAAAAUUAUUUUCUUGCUCUUUUUAUAUUUGGCUCAUGCAAAUGCCUUUGAUGAUGCAAUGGCAAAAGAAAAAAACAAAACAACUUUUGACAAUGGAUCUCUAGGCUCUC
RNAcentral lists this unclassified non-coding RNA (388 nucleotides) under fungal sp. Its description in RNAcentral is "partial internal transcribed spacer region". The stretch from base 1 to 46 matches the Rfam family "Eukaryotic small subunit ribosomal RNA", at positions 1786 to 1831 of the family's 1831-position model. The record is from RNAcentral. Lineage: Eukaryota; Fungi.